GUUUGGGAGGAGUUUACGAACUCCGAGUGGUGAAGGAUAGUGCCAAGAAAAGCUGGCUAUGUGAUGAAGAUAGAACACCCGUACCCGAAACCGACACAGGUAGGGAGGUUGAGAAUACCAAGGGGCGCGAGAUAACUCUCUCUAAGGAACUCGGCAAAAUGGCCCCGUAACUUCGGGAGAAGGGGUGCCCACCUCAGACGUGGGUCGCAGUGAAGAGAUCCAGGCGACUGUUUACCAAAAACACAGGUCUCCGCCAACUCGCAAGAGGACGUAUGGGGGCUGACGCCUGCCCAGUGCCGGAAGGUUAAGGAAGCUGGUCAGCGAAAGUAAAGCUGGCGACUGAAGCCCCGGUGAACGGCGGCCGUAACUAUAACGGUCCUAAGGUAGCGAAAUUCCUUGUCGGGUAAGUUCCGACCCGCACGAAAGGCGUAACGAUCUGGAUGGUGUCUCAGAGAGAGACUCGGCGAAAUAGGAAUGUCUGUGAAGAUACGGACUGCCUGCACCUGGACAGAAAGACCCUAUGAAGCUUUACUGUAGCCUGGAAUUGUGUUCGGGCUUCGCUUGCGCAGGAUAGGUGGGAAGCGGUGAACUAUUCCUUUUGGGGAAUAGGGAGCUAACGGUGAGAUACCACUCUGGCGAAGCUAGAAUUCUAACCCACGACCGUCAGCCGGUUGGGGAACAGUUUCAGGUGGGCAGUUUGACUGGGGCGGUCGCCUCCUAAAAAGUAACGGAGGCGCGCAAAGGUUCCCUCAGCACGCUUGGAAACCGUGCGACGAGUGUAAAAGCAAAAGGGAGCUUGACUGCAAGACUGACAAGUCGAGCAGGUACGAAAGUAGGCUUUAGUGAUCCGACGGCGCAGAGUGGAAUGGCCGUCGCUCAACGGAUAAAAGUUACUCUAGGGAUAACAGGCUGAUCUCCCCCAAGAGUCCACAUCGACGGGGAGGUUUGGCACCUCGAUGUCGGCUCAUCGCAACCUGGGGCGGAAGUACGUCCCAAGGGUUGGGCUGUUCGCCCAUUAAAGCGGUACGUGAGCUGGGUUCAGAACGUCGUGAGACAGUGCGGUCCAUAUCCGGUGCAGGCGCAAGAGUAUUGAGAGGAGUCCUCCUUAGUACGAGAGGACCGGGAGGAACGCACCGCUGGUGUACCAGUUAUUGUACCAACAGUAAACGCUGGGUAGCCAAGUGCGGAGAGGAUAACCGCUGAAAGCAUCUAAGUGGGAAGCCCACCUCAAGAUGAGUACUCUCACUACAAAAAGUAGGUAAGGUCACGGGCAGAACACCCGUUAAUAGGCUCUAAGUGGAAGUGCAGUAAUGUAUGAAGCUGAGGGGUACUAAUAGACCGAGGGCUUG
This 1349-nucleotide ribosomal RNA is filed under the name metagenome. RNAcentral's name for it is "bacterial LSU rRNA". It matches the Rfam family "Bacterial large subunit ribosomal RNA", at positions 1564 to 2925 of the family's 2925-position model. The record is from RNAcentral.